RNAcentral lists this long non-coding RNA (1167 nucleotides) under Anser cygnoides (Swan goose). RNAcentral describes it as "lncRNA (ENSACDG00005008543.1)". Lineage: Eukaryota; Metazoa; Chordata; Aves; Anseriformes; Anatidae. The record is from RNAcentral.
CCCACAGGCAGCCCCACAGGGACCCCAUAGAGCCCUAUAGACCCCCAUAGAGACCCCAGGCAGCCGCAUAGGGCCCCCCCAGGGACCCCACAGAGCCCUAUAGGGCCCCAAGGAGCCACUGCAGCGUCCCCUGGCAGCCCCACAGAGGCCCCAGGGGCCUUAUAGGGCCCUAUAGGCCCCACAGAGCCCCCGGAGAGUCCCCCAGGGUUCGCUAUAGAGGCCUACGGGUCCCCACGGAGACCCAAGAAGACCCUAUAGAGCCCUGUACGCCCUCCCAGAGCUCCCAGGAGCCCCACAGAGCCCCCCAGGGACCCCAUAGAGUCCCCAGGCAGCCCCACAGGGUCCUUAUAGCACCCCAUAGGGCCCCAAUAUCGCCCCGCAGAGCACUAAUAGAGCCCUAUGGGGCCCCAGCAUCACCCCUUAGGGCCCUUAUAGUGCCCCAUAGGGCCCCAAUAGAGCCCCAUAGGGACCUAACGGAGCCCCAGAGAGCACUAACAGAGCCCUAUAGGGCCCCAAUAAAGCCCCAUAAGGACCUUGUAGUGCCCCAGAGGGCCCUUAUAGCACCCCCUAGGGCCCCAAUAUCACCCCCUAGGGCCCUUACAGUGCCCCAUAGGGACCUUACAGCACCCCAUAGGGCCCCAACAUCACCCCCUAGGGCCCUAGAGGCACCCCAUAGGGCCCCAAUAUCACCCAUAGAGCCCCAAUAGAGCCCUAUAGGAACCUAAUGGAGCCCCACAGGGCCCUACAGGACCCCAACAGAGCCCCAAUACCACCCCUAGGGCCCUUAUAGCGCCCCAUAGGGCCCCAAUACCACCCCCUAGGGCCCUUAUAGCGCCCCAUAGGGUCCCAAUACCACCCCCUAGGGCCCUUAUAGCGCCCCACAGGGCCCCAAUAUCACCCAUAGAGCCCCAAUAGAGCCCUAGAGGGACCUAAUGGAGCCCCACAGGGCCCUAUAGGACCCCAAUAGAGCCCCAAUCCCACCCCCUAGGGCCCUUAUAGCCCCCCACAGGGCCCCAAUACCACCCCCUAGGGCCCUUAUGGCACCCCAUAGGGCCCCAAUGUCACCCAUAGAGCCCCAAUAGAGCCCUAGAGGAACAUAAUGGAGCCCCACAGGGCCCUAUAGGACCCCAAUAGAGCCCCAAUACCACCCCCUAGGGCCCUUAUAGC